This 536-nucleotide long non-coding RNA is filed under the name Homo sapiens (human). Its description in RNAcentral is "testis expressed transcript, Y-linked 14, transcript variant 6 (TTTY14)". The record is from RNAcentral. Lineage: Eukaryota; Metazoa; Chordata; Mammalia; Primates; Hominidae.
GAGUUGGGAGGAAAGCGGCGGCGGUGGCGGCUUCAACAGCAGCUCUUGCCCUUAAGGAACAAUGAAACACAAAGAUGGUGCAGACCCAGGCCCUGCUUUGACUGGGAGAAAGAUGCAUUCAGUUGACUAAAACUUGAAGCUUGGUGGCAUGCAUGUUUAGUCCCAGCUACACAGCAGGGAGGCUGAGGCUGAAGGAAUACUUGAGCCCAGGAAUUCAAGACUAGCCUGCACAACAUAGUGAGACCCUGACUUUAAAAUAAAUUUAAAAAAAUUAAAAGCAACAAGACUUUCUGCUUGUAUAUGAUGAUGUUAGUAUGCUGACUUACAAGGUUAGAUCAUUUUGAUAUGUGUGAUGUAGGUUUUCAAAGCUGGCACUGUUUUAUGCUUCAAAUAUUAUUUUUAUUCAUUGGUUCUCAUGGGAUUUCAUCACUAAGCUGUAAAUCAAUAAUCAUAAUGUUGAGGGGAGGGGAUUACAAAAUAGCUCUUCAAAAUCAUCUUUGCAUUUCUCAAUAAACAGCAUUCCCUUUUGAAAAAAA